GAUGAACGCUGGCGGCGUGCCUAACACAUGCAAGUCGAACGGAGUCCAGCCUUAGAGACCUUCGGGUCGAAGAGGGGAAGACUGAGUGGCGGACGGGUGAGUAACACGUGGGCAACCUGGCUCAUAGAGGGGGAUAACAGAGAGAAAUUUCUGCUAAUACCGCAUAAGCACACACUGCCGCAUGGCAGAGUGUGAAAAGAGAAUCGCUAUGAGAUGGACCCGCGUCUGAUUAGCCAGUUGGCAGGGUAAGAGCCUACCAAAGCGACGAUCAGUAGCCGAUUUGAGAGGAUGAACGGCCACAUUGGGACUGAGACACGGCCCAAACUCCUACGGGAGGCAGCAGUGGGGGAUAUUGCACAAUGGGGGGAACCCUGAUGCAGCGACGCCGCGUGAGUGAAGAAGUAUUUCGGUAUGUAAAGCUCUAUCAGCAGGGAAGAUAAUGACAGUACCUGAAUAAGAAGCCCCGGCUAACUACGUG
RNAcentral lists this ribosomal RNA (478 nucleotides) under uncultured bacterium. RNAcentral describes it as "partial 16S ribosomal RNA". It matches the Rfam family "Bacterial small subunit ribosomal RNA", at positions 28 to 507 of the family's 1533-position model. The record is from RNAcentral.